CCCUUAGAUGUUCUGGGCCGCACGCGUGCUACACUGAGUGGAUCAGCGGGUCAGGUUGCGCGAAAGUGUUUCCUAAUCUUGAAAUCCGCUCGUGAUGGGGAUUGACGGUUGCAAUUUUCCGUCAUGAACGAGGAAUACCUUGUAAGCGCGGGUCAUCAUCCCGCGCUGAAUACGUCCCUGCCCUUUGUACACACCGCCCGUCGCUCCUACCGAUUGAAUGGUUUAGUGAGGACUCCUGAUUGGCGCCGCCGCCCCGGCAACGGAGCAGCGGACUGCCGAAAAGUUGUUCAAACUUGAUCAUUUAGAGGAAGUAAAAGUCGUAACA
Molecule: ribosomal RNA, 325 nt
Filed under: uncultured eukaryote
Lineage: Eukaryota
Description: partial 18S ribosomal RNA
Rfam family: Eukaryotic small subunit ribosomal RNA
Source: RNAcentral